ACCACCGAUGGAGAUGCCUUCAGA
Molecule: non-coding RNA, 24 nt
Filed under: Arabidopsis thaliana (thale cress)
Lineage: Eukaryota; Viridiplantae; Streptophyta; Magnoliopsida; Brassicales; Brassicaceae
Source: RNAcentral